This 430-nucleotide ribosomal RNA is filed under the name uncultured bacterium. Its description in RNAcentral is "bacterial SSU rRNA". It matches the Rfam family "Bacterial small subunit ribosomal RNA", at positions 354 to 776 of the family's 1533-position model. The record is from RNAcentral.
GUGGGGAAUAUUGCGCAAUGGGGGAAACCCUGACGCAGCCAUGCCGCGUGUGUGAAGAAGGCCUUAGGGUUGUAAAGCACUUUCAAUUGGGAGGAAAGGUUACUGGUUAAUAGUCAGUAACUGUGACGUUACCUUUAGAAGAAGCACCGGCUAACUCCGUGCCAGCAGCCGCGGUAAUACGGAGGGUGCAAGCGUUAAUCGGAAUUACUGGGCGUAAAGCGCGCGUAGGCGGUUUGUUAAGUCGGAUGUGAAAGCCCUGGGCUCAACCUGGGAACUGCACUCGAAACUGGCCGACUAGAGUACGAGAGAGGGAGGUAGAAUUCCAUGUGUAGCGGUGAAAUGCGUAGAUAUGUGGAGGAAUACCGGUGGCGAAGGCGGCCUCCUGGCUCGAUACUGACGCUGAGGUGCGAAAGCGUGGGGAGCAAACAGG